This 1493-nucleotide ribosomal RNA is filed under the name uncultured Tissierella sp. Its description in RNAcentral is "16S ribosomal RNA". It matches the Rfam family "Bacterial small subunit ribosomal RNA". Lineage: Bacteria; Bacillati; Bacillota; Tissierellia; Tissierellales; Tissierellaceae. The record is from RNAcentral.
AGAGUUUGAUCCUGGCUCAGGACGAACGCUGGCGGCGUGCCUAACACAUGCAAGUCGAACGGAGUGCUUGCAUCUGAUUCUUUCGGGAUGAAGAUGCAAGUAUCUCAGUGGCGAUCGGGUGAGUAACGCGUGAGAAACCUGCCUUUCACAAAGGGAUAGCCUCGGGAAACUGGGAUUAAUACCAUAUAAAGUUCCAAAUUAGCAUUAAAAAGGAACCAAAGUGUAAGCGGUGAAAGAUGGUCUCGCGUCCCAUUAGCUAGUUGGUGAGAUAAAAGCUCACCAAGGCGACGAUGGGUAGCCGGCCUGAGAGGGUGACCGGCCACACUGGAACUGAGACACGGUCCAGACUCCUACGGGAGGCAGCAGUGGGGAAUAUUGCACAAUGGAGGGAACUCUGAUGCAGCGACGCCGCGUGAGCGAAGAAGGCUUUCGAGUCGUAAAGCUCUGUCCUAGGGGACGAUAAUGACGGUACCCAAGGAGGAAGCCCCGGCUAACUACGUGCCAGCAGCCGCGGUAAUACGUAGGGGGCGAGCGUUGUCCGGAAUUAUUGGGCGUAAAGGGUUCGCAGGCGGCCUAUUAAGUCAGAUGUGAAAUUCCAUGGCUUAACCAUGGUAAGCAUUUGAAACUGGAAGGCUUGAGUUAAGGAGAGGAAAGUGGAAUUCCUAGUGUAGCGGUGAAAUGCGUAGAUAUUAGGAGGAAUACCAGUGGCGAAGGCGACUUUCUGGACUUUAACUGACGCUGAGGAACGAAAGCGUGGGUAGCAAACAGGAUUAGAUACCCUGGUAGUCCACGCCGUAAACGAUGAGUGCUAGGUGUUGGGGGUCAAACCUCGGUGCCGCAGCUAACGCAUUAAGCACUCCGCCUGGGGAGUACGUACGCAAGUAUGAAACUCAAGGAAUUGACGGGGACCCGCACAAGCAGCGGAGCAUGUGGUUUAAUUCGAAGCAACGCGAAGAACCUUACCAGGGCUUGACAUGCCUCUGAUCGUUCUAGAGAUAGAGCUUUCCCUUCGGGGACAGAGGACACAGGUGGUGCAUGGUUGUCGUCAGCUCGUGUCGUGAGAUGUUGGGUUAAGUCCCGCAACGAGCGCAACCCUUGUCUUUAGUUGCUAACAGUUAAAGCUGAGCACUCUAGAGAGACUGCCGAUGAUAAAUCGGAGGAAGGUGGGGAUGACGUCAAAUCAUCAUGCCCUUUAUGUCCUGGGCUACACACGUGCUACAAUGGUCGGUACAACGAGAAGCGACCUAGCGAUAGGAAGCAAAUCUUAAAAAGCCGAUCCCAGUUCGGAUUGCAGGCUGCAACUCGCCUGCAUGAAGUCGGAGUUGCUAGUAAUCGCGAAUCAGAAUGUCGCGGUGAAUGCGUUCCCGGGUCUUGUACACACCGCCCGUCACACCAUGGGAGUUGGAAAUGCCCGAAGCCAGUGAGCUAACCGUAAGGAAGCAGCUGUCGAAGGUAGGGUCAAUGACUAGGGUGAAGUCGUAACCAAGGUAGCC